This 578-nucleotide ribosomal RNA is filed under the name Dujonia zeylanoides. RNAcentral describes it as "eukaryotic LSU rRNA". It matches the Rfam family "Eukaryotic large subunit ribosomal RNA", at positions 77 to 670 of the family's 3401-position model. Lineage: Eukaryota; Fungi; Ascomycota; Pichiomycetes; Serinales; Debaryomycetaceae. The record is from RNAcentral.
GUCUUACAGCAGGCGAGUGAGCGGCAAAAGCUCAAAUUUGAAAUCUAGCACUUUCAGUGUUCGAGUUGUAAUUUGAAGAAGGUAACUUUGGAAUUGGCUCUUGUCUAUGUUCCUUGGAACAGGACGUCACAGAGGGUGAGAAUCCCGUGCGAUGAGAUGUCCAAUUCUAUGUAAAGUGCUUUCGAAGAGUCGAGUUGUUUGGGAAUGCAGCUCUAAGUGGGUGGUAAAUUCCAUCUAAAGCUAAAUAUUGGCGAGAGACCGAUAGCGAACAAGUACAGUGAUGGAAAGAUGAAAAGAACUUUGAAAAGAGAGUGAAAAAGUACGUGAAAUUGUUGAAAGGGAAGGGCUUGAGAUCAGACUUGGUAUUUUGUGUUCCUUAUUCUUUUUGGAUUUGGUUCCUCACAGCUUACCGGGCCAGCAUCGGUUUGGAUGGUAGGAUAAUGACAUUGGAAUGUAGCUUUGCUUCGGUGAAGUGUUAUAGACUUUGUUGAUACUGCCUAUCUAGACCGAGGACUGCGUCUUUGACUAGGAUGCUGGCGUAAUGAUCUUAAGCCGCCCGUCUUGAACAACCGAACAAA